UGGGGAAUUUUGCACAAUGGGGGCAACCCUGAUGCAGCGACGCCGCGUGAUUUAGAAGGCCUUCGGGUUGUAAAAAUCUUUUGUAUGGGAAGAAAAUGACAGUACCAUACGAAUAAGGACCGGCUAAUUACGUGCCAGCAGCCGCGGUAAUACGUAAGGUCCGAGCGUUGUCCGGAAUCAUUGGGCGUAAAGGGUACGUAGGCGGAUAAGCAAGUUAGAAGUGAAAUCCUAUAGCUCAACUAUAGUAAGCUUUUAAAACUGCUCAUCUUGAGGUAUGGAAGGGAAAGUGGAAUUCCUAGUGUAGCGGUGAAAUGCGCAGAUAUUAGGAGGAAUACCGGUGGUGAAGGCGACUUUCUGGCCAUAAACUGACGCUGAGGUACGAAAGCGUGGGUAGCAAACAGG
This 402-nucleotide ribosomal RNA is filed under the name Actinomycetes bacterium. Its description in RNAcentral is "Actinobacteria bacterium partial 16S ribosomal RNA". It matches the Rfam family "Bacterial small subunit ribosomal RNA", at positions 355 to 776 of the family's 1533-position model. Lineage: Bacteria; Bacillati; Actinomycetota; Actinomycetes. The record is from RNAcentral.